GUCGAGUCCCUCUGUACGUGGUUCUGAAUUUGAUGCGUUGAAGAAGGAAGUUGCAAAUGUCCGCAAAGAUCUUAAAUCAUUUGAGAAAAAGGUCGGUGAACAGUUUGUUGACAUGAAAGACUACAUGGACAAGUCAAUUAUGAAUUUACUUAAAGAUCUAAAGUCCAUGUUUGGCAGGCAAACUGAAACUCCUGAAGCUAAG
This is a long non-coding RNA of Lycium barbarum (goji berry), 202 nucleotides long. RefSeq lists it as uncharacterized. The transcript is spliced from 3 exons. Lineage: Eukaryota; Viridiplantae; Streptophyta; Magnoliopsida; Solanales; Solanaceae. The record is from RefSeq and is a predicted model, not a curated record.